UACGUAGGCAGCAAACGUUGUUCGGAGUUACUGGGCGUAAAGAGUACGUAGGCGGUUUGCCAAGUUUGGUGUGAAAUCUCCUGGCUUAACUGGGAGGGUGCGCCGAAUACUGGCGAGCUUGAGUGUUGGAGAGGGGAGCGGAAUUCCUGGUGUAGCGGUGAAAUGCGUAGAUAUCAGGAGGAACACCGGUGGUGUAGACGGCUCCCUGGACAACAACUGACGCUGAGGUACGAAAGCGUGGGUAGCAAACAGG
This 253-nucleotide ribosomal RNA is filed under the name uncultured bacterium. RNAcentral describes it as "partial 16S ribosomal RNA". It matches the Rfam family "Bacterial small subunit ribosomal RNA", at positions 524 to 776 of the family's 1533-position model. The record is from RNAcentral.